RNAcentral lists this ribosomal RNA (330 nucleotides) under uncultured bacterium. RNAcentral describes it as "bacterial SSU rRNA". It matches the Rfam family "Bacterial small subunit ribosomal RNA", at positions 568 to 898 of the family's 1533-position model. The record is from RNAcentral.
CGCGUAGGUGGUAGUGUAAGUCUGGGGUGGAAUCCCAGGGCUCAACCCUGGAACUGCCUUGGAAACUGCAUUACUUGAGUCAGUGAGGGGAGGGUAGAAUUCCUGGUGUAGCGGUGAAAUGCGUAGAUAUCAGGAGGAAGGCCUGUGGCGAAGGCGGCCCUCUGGCGCUGGACUGAUACUGAGGCGCGAAAGCGUGGGGAGCAAACAGGAUUAGAUACCCUGGUAGUCCACGCCCUAAACGGUGGGCACUAGGUGUAGGGCUCGUAAGGGUUCUGUGCCGAAGGGAAACCAUUAAGUGCCCCGCCUGGGGAGUACGGCCGCAAGGUUGAA